Molecule: ribosomal RNA, 432 nt
Filed under: uncultured soil bacterium
Lineage: Bacteria
Description: bacterial SSU rRNA
Rfam family: Bacterial small subunit ribosomal RNA
Source: RNAcentral
AGAACCUUACCAGCUCUUGACAUGCCCGGUAUGGGCGGGAGAGAUCCCGUCCUUCGGUUCGGCCGGCCGGGACACAGGUGCUGCAUGGCUGUCGUCAGCUCGUGUCGUGAGAUGUUGGGUUAAGUCCCGCAACGAGCGCAACCCUUGUUUGCUGUUGCCAUCAGGUUAAGCUGGGCACUCUGCAAAGACUGCCGGUGAUAAACCGGAGGAAGGUGGGGAUGACGUCAAGUCAGCAUGGCCUUUAUGUCUGGGGCUACACACGUGCUACAAUGGCCGAUACAAACCGUCGCAGAACCGCAAGGUGAAGCUAAUCGGAUAAAGUCGGUCUCAGUUCGGAUAGCAGGCUGCAACUCGCCUGCUUGAAGUUGGAAUCGCUAGUAAUCGCGGAUCAGCACGCCGCGGUGAAUACGUUCCCGGGCCUUGUCACACCGA